RNAcentral lists this ribosomal RNA (361 nucleotides) under Ranitomeya fantastica (red-headed poison frog). RNAcentral's name for it is "partial 12S ribosomal RNA". It matches the Rfam family "Bacterial small subunit ribosomal RNA", at positions 842 to 1373 of the family's 1533-position model. Lineage: Eukaryota; Metazoa; Chordata; Amphibia; Anura; Dendrobatidae. The record is from RNAcentral.
UCAGUCGAAGUUUACCUCACUCCCCCACUCGCCCGGGAACUACGAGCCAAGCUUAAAACCCAAAGGACUUGACGGUACCCCAUAUCCCCCUAGAGGAGCCUGUCCUAUAAUCGAUAACCCCCGUUUAACCUCACCAUUUCUAGCAACUCAGCCUGUAUACCUCCGUCGUCAGCUUACCACGUGAGCGCUAGUGAGCUCAAUGUUUUUUCAACUAAACGUCAGGUCAAGGUGCAACACAUGAAAUGGGAAGAGAUGGGCUACACUUUCUAAAAUAGAUCACACGGAAGACUAACUAUGAAAUCUAGUCAGAAGGCGGAUUUAGAAGUACAAAAGCAAUCAGAAAGUCCUUUGUGACCCGAGC